This 64-nucleotide transfer RNA is filed under the name Anaxarcha zhengi. Its description in RNAcentral is "tRNA-Gly". Lineage: Eukaryota; Metazoa; Arthropoda; Insecta; Mantodea; Hymenopodidae. The record is from RNAcentral.
AUUUAUUUAAUAUAAUAAGUAUAAUUGAUUUCCAAUCAAAAAGUCUAAAAACUUAGAAUAAAUA